This 793-nucleotide ribosomal RNA is filed under the name Mycena rosella. RNAcentral describes it as "eukaryotic LSU rRNA". The stretch from base 267 to 420 matches the Rfam family "5.8S ribosomal RNA". The record is from RNAcentral. Lineage: Eukaryota; Fungi; Basidiomycota; Agaricomycetes; Agaricales; Mycenaceae.
CGUACAAGGUUCCGUAGGGACCUGCGGAAGGAUCAUUAUUGAAUAACUUGGUGUUGAGCUGGCCCUAUUGGGCAUGUGCUCGCAUCAUAUUAUUUUAUCUAUCUCUUGUGCACCUUUUGUAGUCUUUGAAGUGUUCGCAGUCAAUGCGGUUUUGGGUCUUGGGCUUUGCUGCCCUUUUCCCUGUUUGCUUCAAAGGCUAUGUUUUUAUACACACUAUUAAAGUCACAGAAUGUCUCUUAUUGACUUCCGAGUCAGUAAAUCUAUACAACUUUCAGCAACGGAUCUCUUGGCUCUCCCAUCGAUGAAGAACGCAGCGAAAUGCGAUAAGUAAUGUGAAUUGCAGAAUUCAGUGAAUCAUCGAAUCUUUGAACGCACCUUGCGCCCUUUGGUAUUCCGAAGGGCAUGCCUGUUUGAGUGUCAUUAAAUUCUCAACCUUGCAAGCUUUUGCUUGUGAGGCUUGGAUGUGAGGGUUUUUGCUGGCUUCCUUCAUUUGGAUGGUCUGCUCCCUUUAAAUUUAUUAGUGGGAUCCUUUGUGGAUGGUCACUUGGUGUGAUAAUUAUCUACGCCGCCUGACUCUGAUACAAGACUUGUGGGAACCCGCUUAUAACCGUCUCUUCAGAGAGACAACUUAUAUUGACAAUUUGACCUCAAAUCAGGUAGGACUACCCGCUGAACUUAAGCAUAUCAAUAAGCGGAGGAAAAGAAACUAACAAGGAUUCCCCUAGUAACUGCGAGUGAAGCGGGAAAAGCUCAAAUUUAAAAUCUGGCGGUUCCACCGUCCGAGUUGUAAUUU